AUAUCUAUAUAUAGUUUAUUUCUCACAAUCCUGGUAAGAGUUACAGGUGUAUUUGGGAAUCAUUUACAUCACAAUGGGACAAGCUAAACUACUUUAAAUUUUCAAUCUAGUAUUUCUAGUCUACCUGCAUUAUUGCAUUUAUACGCUUUUUUUGUUUUCAAAGUCAAAGUAAAUAGAAUACUAUAUGGGAAAGGAAAAAAUUCUUGACUAUUUUAGGAUUUGAGCUGCAGCCCAUACAAAGUGUCCAUAGAAGCAUAGACAAGAUUAUAAAUUCAACAAGGUAUAAAUUAGCUGGAUAGCUUUGUGUGUAGGUAGGUGUCCAUUUCCCUCCAGGAAAUGUGUCUAGCAGCAUAUUGUUUCUGAGAGCAAAAAAAAACCCCAAACCUGUACAUUGAACACAGGUAAGUGACAAGCAGGUCUGGUUGUACAGGGAAGAAAUCAAGGCGUCAAUUGGAAAAUUCCUAUCAUUUGGAAAACACACUCAGGAGCUGAUUCAAAACCCACCGACAUCAUUGGAAAGGUGUCUGAGGCUUCCAAAGGAACAGCAGGCAUUUCAGUCUGACUUUCGAGGGCUUUGGAUCAGUCCCUGAAGAAGUAACAGAAUCCAAACAAACCAAAAACAAAAUAAAAAUCCCCUGUAAUCUGACCUUCGAGUUCCCUUCCUAAAAUUUUAGUUCCUCCACAAACUGAUAGCCAACCUGCACCUACCACUGGAAGAGAGUUGGUUUCCUGGGGAGGUGAAACUGCAACUUUUAAAAGCUUCAGUUGAAACAGUCCUGGGAAAAGGCACCAGGGUUAUGAAGGGCUGCUCAAAACUCAGUAAAGCCAAAUUAUUCCCAUGUUGGUUAGUUGAUUGGUUUUUAACCAAACAAAAUUGUGUGGCACCCUUGUUCUUAUCAACUUGCCCCAGAAGCCUGGCUGCUUGAAGCAGCCAUGGCAGAACCAGGGAUAUGAUGCAGGACAUGACUGGUGGAAAGGUGAUUUAAGAUUCCUCUUGUCCUGGUGGGACCUUUGGUGCUGCAGCAUCAUCACACAGAAAGAACCUGUACAUUCAUGCUUGGGAUGCUGCACUGAAGCUGGGAAAUGGAAAAGUGAUGGAACUGUUUGAGAAUUGCAAGCUGGGAAUAUCCAGAAGAGAAAUAGGAACAGCCAGUCCAAAGCCUGUUUAACCCAUGUUAUGCUCUUCAGAAAAAAAAAAAAGAAGAAAAAAAAAAAAAAGUCUAUUUAAUUUGAAGAGCAUCAAAGAGGGCACGAGUCCCAGAGCACUGCAUAUCAGAGCACACACUAUCCAGAGGAGGCAGCAGAGCUAUAGCACAAGGUAGAUCCAAACUCAUGAAUUUGGAAAGCCAAAGGCUCUCAUCUCUCGCAAGAUUUUGAGGCCUAUUAUGGUCAAUUAAAUGAAAUGUGAAUUUUAGAGGCCUGGAUGUCCCACACUUCCCUAUCACCCAGUGACACCUGAUCAGCUCAUUGAAAUGAGACAAUCCUUGCACUUCCUGCACCCUCACACCUGACACAACAGCUGAUCCUUCCAGGCCAGCAGAAGUACAUGUCCUCGACUUCAAAACUUCUCUUUUCCCUCUGUUUUUGGUGCUCCAGAGGGCUGAGGGAGCUCUGGCUGCAGCCAAGCGCAGUCUGUGCUCACACCAUGUCAGCCCCUCUCAAGCAGCCAGAACACCUCAUACCUGACUGACAGGGAAGGACAAGAAGGGACCUGCCUGGGGAUUUGUCAUCCAUUACAAAUCCUGUGGCAGCCAAGCACUCAGCCUCUUGCAGACUUAGACCCUCAAAGGUGAGGGUAGAUCAAAGCUCCACACAUUCUCUGAUGUGACACAGUCUGGGGGCCCAGCACUGCCUGUAUUUUUGGGGGACCCACCUAACACCUGCCUUAGACAACCCAAAGUCUGCCCCAGCUUUGGGCUAUGGAGAGGCCAUAUCUGCAGAGCUGCUCAGGAAGAAAGCAGGGAAAGAAAAGGGAAUACAGUGCAGUGGCCAAAGGAGGAGGAAAGAACAAGCAAUGAUCAGAUCAGAAACCAAUUGAACGCCACAGUUUGUAGCAGCUGAAGACCUGGUGUGAACAGACAUCCCAGGAAUUAGGGAAUUUAAAAGGAAAGCAGGUUAAAGGGCCGGACUGAUGGUCUCAAAAAGAAGAGGAAGAAGUCAUCAUAAAUCCACCUUAUUCAGUGGAUUAAACCCCUGAGGGUUGCUGGAUGGGGGCACAGGCUCCAAGGCUUUUUGGAGCUGUCAGCUAAGUGUCACUCAUAAGACCCAAAAUGUGCCAACAAAUCCUCAGCAUCAGCAGAUUUCUCCCCAAAAGAGUAAAGGACCAAAUACCGCCCGUGUAAAUAGCAGGAAAUAUUCCCAAUUCCAAUGUCCUGCAAGGAGAAUUUACUGGAAUACAGAGCUGUUAUGUUCCAGAUCAAAGCCAAUUCCUCUUUGUGGCAGGAAGUGCCCAACCUGUGCAGCAGAACUGCAGCCAGCUCAUGAAUGGGAUGUGAUGCUGCAAGGCCUGGGAAGGGAAUCAGCAUUCCUGCUCCAGCAUGAAGGCUGGACCAGGAGGAUGGAAGUGCGAGCAGGCUGCUUUUGCAGUCCUUGUCAUAACGUGAAAAGAGAAUACAGCCCCUCCUGAUGUCCUGGCAAUUCCCCUGAAUCAUGCAAGGUUGGUUAUAGAAAACUUCAGGUAUUUUUCUAACCCUUUAACAUUGCACAGAGCCAGCAGGAAUUCAUCUGGAAAAGGCAAUUAGCAGAGGUUAAUUUGCAUGGCACCAGAGCUCAUAAUUUUUGCCUUUUUCUGAGGAAGAAAAAAGGGGGGAAGAGGAUAUAAAAGUUAGGAUGUCCUUACCAAAGCUAUUAAGAUAAUUAAAUAGUGCUUUUUCUCUCCACUUCUCUGCUCUGUUCCUUGUACCCUCUCAGAAUCUUCACUGACUCAAAGCUUUCCAUGGAGCUGAUUGAAAUUCCAAAAAUUUCACCUUUCAAACAUAUUUUUUCAUUGCCUUCCUUUUUUGGUUUAUUUCUUGAAGAAUAAUUUUCUUCUCCAAUCUCCAGCACUGUUAUUUUCAACCAAUUCUAAGAAUAGUUAGAAGGCCGCUGAAUUCUAAACCCCAGUAGCAUUUCCAAGAAAAGUAGGGAAUAUUUUAAGGCAUAAAUCAUCUCUCACCAGCUCCAGGAGUUUUUGGUUACACUGCUGUUGUUCAUACACAAAUCCUGAUACCAUCAUAAGCAGGGCUGCCUCAGAGAACAGACUUCCUUUACGCUCAGCCUAAGGAACAUUUGUAUCAAUUGAAAAACAAAUGUGUAAUUGAGAUGAUUUUAUGAUGACCUGUGAUCAUAUCCCUGGUGCCAACAAGAACUCAAAGGCCGGAGCAUGGUGAAACCAAUGGAAAAAUUCCCAUUGUUUUCAGUAUCCUAUGGCUCAACCUUCAAACUCUAGACCAUCAGAGACACAAAUGGAUGCUUAAUUUAUCACCCAGCCCCUAAGAAAUACUUCAGGGCAACUGACUGUUGAGUGUUUUAAGUGAGCCACAGGCAAACAGGAAUGCAUUCUUGCCCUCCCAAAAAUGCUGCUGCAUAAUCCCCCAGCUUCCAGAUUUGUUUUCAUCCUACUGCAACACCGUUAGGAAUAACAGGAUUUAGCUACAGGGUAUUAAAUCAGUAGGAAGAGGAAGCAGAAGCAUAAUCCAUUUAAUCUCUCUUAAAAUAGAAGCAGCAAAAACCUUCUACUGAGUUGUCCAAGACAGCAAAAUGACAUCUUUAUAUUCAACUAAAAUUUAUGAUUCCCUAAAAAGAGAUUGAGAUUGGGUGCAGUGAUUCAGUUGAGAGUUUUGGUGCUAAGCUGAAAGGUCUGAAACCAAUUUUGCCAAUAUUUAAUUUAUCAACUUGAUAAAAAGAGUAAACUAGCAAUCUAGAUCUCUUCAAACCCCAAGCACAGACUCUGAUUAGUUUUAAAUGUUAAUUCACUGUCCCCAUGGAGAUGUCACUGGAAGGACUUUAUACCACAAAAACCACACAAAGGAGGACAUCAAGCAAAUAACGGCGUGUGCUCAGUACAAGAAAAGACAACUAUUUAUUUAGCACAGCGAGGUCAGUCAUUAAAGCCUUCUGUUUCGACAGAGCUGGGGCUGAGAGAGGGGGAUUGCUCCCUCGGCCUGGUGCUCGCUGGACAUUUUUGGCUCAGAAGGAAAGCACUGCACAGCCUGGCACAGUAAGGCAGGACAGGAGCUGUUUGCAAGUCAGGGCUGCGGCGCGCUGGGGCAUCUACGCUGGAUCUGCCCAGCUCAACACUAGACCCACACUUGGAAAAGCGCUAGAGCACAGUCCAGGAUAGUCUAAAAGUGCCUCAUUUUAAAGCAAAGAGCCCACAUGACUGGGGAGCAGGGGCUCAGGGCUCCAAGCACACCACACACUCAGCACUUCACCAGCCAGACAUUCCUUGCACUGAGGAUAAACCAGGACCAAAAAGGAAUUGAGGAGCUGCAUGGCGUAGUGGGAAUGGCACAGAAAAGACAUCAUGGACACUUAGUGUGAAUGCAGGCAAGGAAGGAAGGGGCAUCUCCAGCUUGGAUUCUCUCCCCCUCCCAGACUGCAGCAAUGCAACAUGAAGGUUUGUACACACACACACACAGGAUGUGCUUCAAGGCACACACACAGACACAGACGGGUUUUUUCCAAACCAAACUGCCAAAGAGGUGGGUUCCAGGAGCUGAACCUCAACAGCAGACUCUUAAGUGAUCACAGGAAGUGGAAAAUCCCUUGGGAACAGGAAAGACCAUGUUCAAAAACCCCUUACAAACAGAACAUACCAGGUUUGCCGAGCUGGGAGGGCUCUAAUGAGCAACAUGCUCUGAUGAGGAGCUGCAGCCCCAUCACCACCUCUGUGGUGCUUCUGGAUGAAACUGGUUGCCUUGCAUCCGAGUGCUCUAAGGGCAGGUGGGGCUUGGAGAUGGAGAAAAGGUUAAGGCUAUUAGCUGGGAACUGUUUUUUCCCUCUUCUGUUGCCAAAGGUGAAGACAAGAAAAUAAAAACAUUUUAGAAAAACUGGAGACUUGAGUGGAGCGGGUGCUUCACUUUCCUUGCCCAAUCUAUCUAUGCUGGUCAGGGCAGAAUAGAUAGAUGCUGUGCCUAAUGUCACACGCUGCUAAAAACAAUCCUAGGCCAGAGCUGAGAGGGAGGGAGGGGGCAGGAAAGGUAGAAACAUCUCUUGAAAACUGACGUCACUGUCUGAAAAUCAUCACCCUAUUUGGCAAAACAUGAACCAGAGUAGGAGGGGGUGAUUUCCCUUCCCUCUGAGCAAUGUAAGCAAAACUCCCUGUGAAAAUUCCCCUGCAAAGUUGUGCUUCCGAGGGGAGAGGAGGACCUUUCUGCUUCUAACCCUUCCCCAGGCUGUGACACACUGCUGCUGGGAACACAUCCACAACUCAUGCCAAGAGUGUUUUAGGUUACCAGGAUCUCACCUGGAGCUGUAGCCCUGCUUCCCAAAAUUCCUGUGAGCCCAACAUGCUUGCUCCUAUCUCUGUGCUUGCAAAGGUGGAAGCAUUAACUUCCAGUUUCAUCAGGACACAGUGAUUGAUAUUCCCAGAGGCCAUACACCUUUGGGAAUAGUUUCUGAGUUCACCAUAGGAGUAGCCGUGCAUUCCAAGACCAUGUGCAUUCAGCAGGUCAGAUUUGGAGGUAAAUAAGACAGGCACAAGCCAAGAGAAGAAUUGCCAGGUCAGGUUAUACCUCCUCACUGGCCCGUCCAGGGACUGUGCCAGAGGCAGACACUGCAUAGGCAGCACCUGAGGAAUGCACACCUCCCUCUGUCCCUGCAACCCCUGAAUUCCUCCAUCCAUCCAUCCAUCCAUCCCAGUUAAAGGUGCACAAUGGGCUCUGUAACAGAACUCACCCCACUGUGUCACAGCCCCUGUGGCUGCUGCCAAGUUCCCAUUGGACCUCAUCUCUGACCCAACUUAAACCCAAAAUGUAAGGGGUUUUUAUAACUUGGCUGUUUUGCAGCAGCCAAGAAAAGCCUAAUGGAAGUUUUCAGAGGCAGAACUCCUCGCCUCUCACUGUUUAGUGCUGAGCAUCGGCCAAAGCACUAAACAUCCUCUCUCCUCCCCCUCACAAAGUCUGGCUUUAGACCCAAGGUACUCACCCAUGAAAUCAGGCUGCUCCAGAAGACUGGGAAUUGAUUCCAUUUCCAAAGUGUGGAUGAGUUACAAAUCCCUACUACUUCUGUCACAAGAGGGAGGUAAGAAAUCCACCCGGGACAUACUCCAGUGCCCUUGAAAGGGAUUUCUCUGGCAUAAAGCAGGUAGGUCAGUGUUACUCUCAUGGGGUCCCAGGUCCUCUCUGCUCCUAACACCAGCUCAUGUCUCCCCCUUUUCCUGUCUUCCCAUGUGCUGAGAGACCACAGGCUUCAGUGGGGAAAAAAAAUCCAGUGAAAAGCCUUAUCCAAAUCCCAAAAAAAUGAACUCACAUAGCCCAGCCAGCCUCGAGGGAGCUUGGACUGAGCCCACAGCACCCUGCAAAGCCCAGCCUAACUUUAGGAAAUACUAGAUCCAAAACAAAGUCUCUCUAUUCCAAAUGCUGCCCAUGUGACCCUGGCGAGCCCUGGGAUACUAAAGGCUGCACUGGGACUUCUCUGGGCCACAGCACAACCCCUCUGGUCACUGUCCCACUGGCAGCUCAGCCAGAAGAGUGACCUGAUGUGACAUCCCAGGCUCACACUCGGCUCUGCCACGCCGCAGCCUCCCUGGUUCCUCUGGAGCACUUCCCAGGCGGGUGUUCCAAGGUGGGAUGAUGAGGGGCAGAUACACAGACACCGACUAGGGAUGGCUGUUGGGUCAGGGAGCUGCCUCUUCCCAGCCACUGCCCCUGCGCUUCCCUUGUCCCAAGGGGGGCUGAGAAGACACCCCCAGCCCAGUGUGACAGGAGAGCCAGGCCUUAGCGCUCCCCUUCCAUCUUCUUUACCACAGCCCAAGAUAAAACAGAACCAAACAGAAACCAAAACACAAAUUGGGACUCCAAAUGGGACGUAGAACACUUUGGACUUGAAAACAGGACUGCAAGGGGCGGGGGAGGGGG
RNAcentral lists this long non-coding RNA (7058 nucleotides) under Taeniopygia guttata (zebra finch). RNAcentral's name for it is "lncRNA (ENSTGUG00000029571.1)". Lineage: Eukaryota; Metazoa; Chordata; Aves; Passeriformes; Estrildidae. The record is from RNAcentral.